AUGCGCCACCGCGCAAGAGGAAAGCGAGCGACUCCCCAGCGGCUGCAUUCUUCGUGGCCUCGAACUGGGCUCGAUUGACUCCUCCAGCCGUCCUCCAAUACAGAUGAGGAGGCAAUGGAUUGGGCCCCUACGAUCUAUGCGGAGGAGGAGCUCAUGGACUGGAGUCCUUUAUAACGCAGGUUGCAGCGUCAUCUGGAGGAGCCUCCUCGUCCUCUUGCAUCCCCAUGCCCCCCAUCCCUCCUGCCCCUCUCUUUCCUCCCUCUGCACCUCCGGCCCCGAUCCAUUCUGCCCAUGUCUUCCAUGCCUCGAUUCCUCCUGCUCCUGCCUCUCAGGCCCCGAUCCCUCCUGCCCCUGCCUCUUGUGCUUCCGGGACAAAGCGAAGCAAGGGCAAGGAAGAAGGGAGCGCGCCCCCCCUCUGUGACCCUCCUCCAGACCCAGGCCAGGGAAGGGCAGGCAAGA
This is a non-coding RNA of Pogona vitticeps (central bearded dragon), 459 nucleotides long. NCBI's taxonomy places the organism in Eukaryota, Metazoa, Chordata, Lepidosauria, Squamata, Agamidae. The record is from RefSeq and is a predicted model, not a curated record.